This 788-nucleotide ribosomal RNA is filed under the name uncultured archaeon. Its description in RNAcentral is "bacterial SSU rRNA". It matches the Rfam family "Archaeal small subunit ribosomal RNA", at positions 85 to 878 of the family's 1478-position model. The record is from RNAcentral.
ACUGCUCAGUAACACGUGGAUAACCUGCCCUGCGGUGGGAAAUAACCCCGGGAAACUGGGGAUAAUGUCCCAUAGGCUACAGAUGCUGGAAUGCUCUGUAACUCAAAGAUUUAUCGCCACAGGAUGGGUCUGCGGCCGAUUAGGUAGUUGUUGGGGUAACAGCCCAACAAGCCUUUGAUCGGUACGGGUUGUGGGAGCAAGGGCCCGGAGAUGGAUUCUGAGACACGAAUCCAGGCCCUACGGGGCGCAGCAGGCGCGAAAACUUUACAAUGCGGGAAACCGUGAUAAGGGAACUCCGAGUGUCCGUAAAUGCGGACUGUCCGUAUGUCUAAAAAGCAUGCGAAGAAAGGGCCGGGCAAGACCGGUGCCAGCCGCCGCGGUAAUACCGGCGGCUCGAGUGGUGGCCACUAUUAUUGGGCUUAAAGCGUUCGUAGCUGGAUCGUUAAGUCUCUUGGGAAAUCUACCGGCUUAACCGAUAGGCGUCCAAGGGAUACUGGCGAUCUAGGGACCGGGAGAGGUGAGGGGUACUUCAGGGGUAGGAGUGAAAUCCUGUAAUCCUUGGGGGACCACCUGUGGCGAAGGCGCCUCACCAGAACGGCUCCGACAGUGAGGGACGAAAGCUGGGGGAGCAAACCGGAUUAGAUACCCGGGUAGUCCCAGCCGUAAACGAUGCGCGUUAGGUGUAUCGAUGACCACGAGUCAUCGAGGUGCCGAAGGGAAACCGUGAAACGCGCCGCCUGGGAAGUACGGUCGCAAGGCUGAAACUUAAAGGAAUUGGCGGGGGAGCA